UGCAGUCGACGGUGAAGCCCAGCUUGCUGGGUGGAUCAGUGGCGAACGGGUGAGUAACACGUGAGUAACCUGCCUCUGACUCUGGGAUAAGCCUUGGAAACGGGGUCUAAUACUGGAUACGAGACGCUCGGGCAUCCGAAGUGUCUGGAAAGAUUUAUCGGUCAGAGAUGGACUCGCGGCCUAUCAGCUUGUUGGUGGGGUAAAGGCCUACCAAGGCGACGACGGGUAGCCGGCCUGAGAGGGCGACCGGCCACACUGGGACUGAGACACGGCCCAGACUCCUACGGGAGGCAGCAGUGGGGAAUAUUGCACAAUGGGCGCAAGCCUGAUGCAGCGACGCCGCGUGAGGGAUGACGGCCUUCGGGUUGUAAACCUCUUUCAGCAGGGAAGAAGCGAAAGUGACGGUACCUGCAGAAGAAGCGCCGGCUAACUACGUGCCAGCAGCCGCGGUAAUACGUAGGGCGCAAGCGUUGUCCGGAAUUAUUGGGCGUAAAGAGCUCGUAGGCGGUUUGUCGCGUCUGCUGUGAAAACUCGAGGCUCAACCUCGGGCCUGCAGUGGGUACGGGCAGACUAGAGUGCGGUAGGGGAGACUGGAAUUCCUGGUGUAGCGGUGGAAUGCGCAGAUAUCAGGAGGAACACCGAUGGCGAAGGCAGGUCUCUGGGCCGCAACUGACGCUGAGGAGCGAAAGCAUGGGGAGCGAACAGGAUUAGAUACCCUGGUAGUCCAUGCCGUAAACGUUGGGCACUAGGUGUGGGGCUCAUUCCACGAGUUCCGUGCCGCAGCAAACGCAU
This 792-nucleotide ribosomal RNA is filed under the name Cellulomonas sp. Its description in RNAcentral is "bacterial SSU rRNA". It matches the Rfam family "Bacterial small subunit ribosomal RNA", at positions 56 to 860 of the family's 1533-position model. Lineage: Bacteria; Bacillati; Actinomycetota; Actinomycetes; Micrococcales; Cellulomonadaceae. RNAcentral also lists the same sequence under 1 other name. The record is from RNAcentral.